UACGUAGGUGGCGAGCGUUGUCCGGAUUUACUGGGCGUAAAGAGCGCGCAGGCGGUCGUAUAAGUCACGUGUGAAAGCCCCCGGCUCAACUGGGGAGGGUCACGCGAUACUGAUCGACUCGAAGGCAGGAGAGGGUAGUGGAAUUCCCGGUGUAGUGGUGAAAUGCGUAGAUAUCGGGAGGAACACCAGUGGCGAAGGCGACUACCUGGCCUGUUCUUGACGCUGAGGCGCGAAAGCUAGGGGAGCAAACGGG
Molecule: ribosomal RNA, 253 nt
Filed under: uncultured bacterium
Lineage: Bacteria
Description: partial 16S ribosomal RNA
Rfam family: Bacterial small subunit ribosomal RNA
Source: RNAcentral